This 482-nucleotide ribosomal RNA is filed under the name uncultured bacterium. RNAcentral describes it as "partial 16S ribosomal RNA". It matches the Rfam family "Bacterial small subunit ribosomal RNA", at positions 30 to 507 of the family's 1533-position model. The record is from RNAcentral.
AUUGAGCGCUGGCGGCAUGCCUUACACAUGCAAGUCGAACGGUAACGGGCCUUCGGGUGCCGACGAGUGGCGAACGGGUGAGUAAUACAUCGGAACGUGCCCGAUCGUGGGGGAUAACGAGGCGAAAGCUUUGCUAAUACCGCAUACGAUCUACGGAUGAAAGCAGGGGACCGCAAGGCCUUGCGCGGACGGAGCGGCCGAUGGCAGAUUAGGUAGUUGGUGGGAUAAAAGCUUACCAAGCCGACGAUCUGUAGCUGGUCUGAGAGGAUGAUCAGCCACACUGGGACUGAGACACGGCCCAGACUCCUACGGGAGGCAGCAGUGGGGAAUUUUGGACAAUGGGCGCAAGCCUGAUCCAGCCAUGCCGCGUGCAGGAUGAAGGCCUUCGGGUUGUAAACUGCUUUUGUACGGAACGAAAAGCCUUCUUUUAAUACAGGGGGGUCAUGACGGUACCGUAAGAAUAAGCACCGGCUAACUACGUG